Molecule: ribosomal RNA, 270 nt
Filed under: uncultured prokaryote
Description: partial 16S ribosomal RNA
Rfam family: Bacterial small subunit ribosomal RNA
Source: RNAcentral
UGCCAGCAGCGCGGUAAUACGUAGGGUGCAAGCGUUAAUCGGAAUUACUGGGCGUAAAGCGUGCGCAGGCGGUGAUGUAAGACAGGUGUGAAAUCCCCGGGCUUAACCUGGGAACUGCAUUUGUGACUGCAUCGCUGGAGUGCGGCAGAGGGGGAUGGAAUUCCGCGUGUAGCAGUGAAAUGCGUAGAUAUGCGGAGGAACACCGAUGGCGAAGGCAAUCCCCUGGGCCUGCACUGACGCUCAUGCACGAAAGCGUGGGGAGCAAACAGG